Long non-coding RNA from Scylla paramamosain (green mud crab), 2980 nucleotides. RefSeq lists it as uncharacterized. The transcript is spliced from 8 exons. The record is from RefSeq and is a predicted model, not a curated record. Lineage: Eukaryota; Metazoa; Arthropoda; Malacostraca; Decapoda; Portunidae.
GAGGAGCCUGGAGAGGACACUUCCCCAGCCACAGACCAUGCUGGUGUGAGGCAGCAGCCUGAGGUGCUCCUUUGUGAAGGGUCACAGCAUAUCACUCCCCUGCCUCUCACCACUGUUGGGAAGGAAUGCAUUUCAGGUGUCCCCAACCCCUCCCGCCCUGAGUGAACACACCCCCAGACAAAACCUCUAAGGGGGCCAAGGGGAAGGGAGCAGCCCAGGCCCCUUGCAAUGCUGAGAGAGGUGCAGCCAGCAAGGAGGCAAGUGGCUCAUCUGUCAGUUCUAACCAUGAGGAGCUGGUGUGCGCCUACCACGCCCACAGCCACACCAAUGGAGGGCCAACGACACUCAAGUCUGGCCAGUGUGUGGUGACAAGUAGUGAGGUCACCACUGAAUCUGACACACCUGCUGAGCCUGACCUGGUGUCUUUCUGUGCUGCCCUGGGCAACAACUGAGCCCUGUGAGUCCCUGCCCUCUUCAAGCCAGACGGGGACUACCAGACUGUGGCUGACAUGGUGGGUGGCGGUCGCUCCAGGACAGAGUCAACCACCAGUCACGAGGAAAGUUUGGACGAGGCCAGAAGUGCGUCAUCCCACCACAGGUCACGGGGACAGGAACUGUUGGCCAGGCAGGGUCACCGUCCCUCCCACGGCGACCCGGAUUAUAGCUACGCUCACCCUGUGAAGAAGCAGUGCCUUCCCCCACCCCUCCACUGUCCUCCACUGACAGCAACAGGUGUAUGAGUUAGUGAUAGUGAGGUCACUGACAGACAGACUCGCCAAAUUGUUCAUUAGUAAAAGUUCCGUGGCCACUAAGUUUGUAAUUUGCCUCUGUGUCUAUUUUUCCAGCCUUUUUAUUCAUUGAUGUACACUUUUGCCUUUCACUGCUUCCUCCUUUAAUCCAUUCUAUAUCUUUAUAUAUUUACAUGGAAAGAUAUGUUUGCAUUAUUUGAACAUUCUCUCUCUCUCUCUCUCUCUCUCUCUCUCUCUCUCUCUCUCUCUCUCUCUCUCUCUCUCUCUCUCUCUCUCUCUCUCUCUCUCUCUCUCUCUCUCUCUCUAAUAUUGAGGUUCAUCUCUUGUCCAUAACAAAAGGGCAUUUCUGUCUGGUUCCUCAGGUUGGUUGACUAACCCUAAAGCUGCAGGGGUUUUCACACAUUUCUCCAUUUCAUAUGUCACUACUCCUAUGUGGAAAGAUGUGUGUUAUUUAGGAAGCUCUCUUCUAUCCGAGUUUCUUUUAAUCUUUAUCAUCAUGUGUCAAGUCAUCCAGUUCUGGCACUAUCUUAGUGGUUGUUCUUUGUAUUCUUUCAAAUCUCUACAUGAAACAUCACUGAAUUAAUUAAGCUUAGCAGAAAUUAUGUGAUGUGCCCUACUGAUGCUGGUGUGAAGGUGAGGUGUUUGUAGUGAGCCGUGUGAUGCCUUCCCCAGUGCUGAAUAUGGAGAGGGCAGCCAGACCACGUACAGGCGACGCCACACACUGGAGUUUUUUGAAGUGGAGUGCGACCACUCUUCCAUCAAGCAAGUGGGAAGUGGACUGGCGCUGGUCCCUGUGUUGCACCGUCACCCAGACCAGCUGUCACCUGGCAGUACAGGCAGUGCCACGUAGUGUGUCACUCAGCCUGUUAUGUACUGCCCUUGGCACAGUGUGUGAUAUCAGACUGCAGGAGUGGAGCCUCUGGAGCAGCUGAUGGCUGACCUGGAGCUGGAGAAGAUGGUUCAGGAUGCCAGCAAGACAGCUCUUUGACACUUCCAGUAGUGGUAGAAGCCUCCCAUCACCACCCUCACUCCUCUGCCACUGCUGACCACAACACUGAGGCUGUAUUCUUCAGGACCUGAUUGUUGCUUGGACUUGAGGCUUCCCUGCUUGGGACUGGCAGUUCUGCAAACAGCUGUUAGUGACAGUGUCCGCAGGACAACAGUGUAGGUGGUGUCCUCUGGAGGUCCUUCACCUGCAUGGAACUAAGUCCACCUGUUGUAAUACUUGAAUGCGUAAGUGCUCAUCUUGAAGAUUUUAAUUACUGCAGUGGUCACCAUCUCAGACCUGACUGCCACAGGUACUUACUGUACACACUGCUAUCUAUAAUCCAGUGCUUAGCAGUUUCUUAGUUAUGGUUAUCAACUAUCUGGAUAAAUUUUACACAGCAACAUUAAAUUACAACAUGUACACAACAGCAAACUUUGGAGGGGUUUUAAGCAUUGCUACCAUCAGUCCGACCUAGCUAACCAACCUAACAACCUACCCUAACCUAACUCUUCCUCAACAAUGUAGAACAUAUAUUUAACCUCAACAAUGAAGAACAUGUUUAAAAUGAUUUUCUUUUUUCUAGAAGUUUGGAUCCCAAAGGGUGAGCAGAAAGAAAAUUUUUAUCUCCCAUUAUGCAACAAAGUCAUUUAGGGAAUUUGGUCAUAUUACUUAAAGCAGUGUCCAAAACAUUAGUUAACUAAAUUCCAUAUGCAAUUUACAGUUUGGUCAAGAUAAAAUAAUAAGCAAAUAUGCUAAUGGGCUAAUUUUUACUCCCACCAGUUUUCUAAUGUGGAUGAAACUAUUUAUUUCUCGUAUUUUUUGGCCUGUUUUGAAUCAAUAUGGUUCUUGUUUUUAUGGAAAUCAUUAGCCAUUAUUUUUUACUCCCUGGAAUACUAUGAUGAUUGGUGGCUGUGGGCACAUAACAGUUUAUAAACAAUGUCUCAUGGCAUUCUUGGUGAUAACACAAAGCCUUCCUGUGAUUGGCUGCCUUGCGUGUUACAUUGAAUCAGUGACAUAUCGCCUCCGGCAGCCAGUGAGCACUCUCAGAUGCAUCCUGAUGCAUCCUCUCCUCUGGGCAGCAAUGACUGCUGCCACUGCUGCUGCUUGAUCAAGGAGUGAGGAUCCACACUUCCAGAUUCUAACAAUGCAACACCAGACAUCUCUGUAAAGGAUUGACAUUGAUGAUUGACAAAUUUAAAACCUUUUGAGUGAAUGAAAUGCAAUAAAACUCAAGUGAAGACGU